UGGGAAUACGCCGAGCGCGAAGAUGAUCAGCAUAACUAGGCCAACGACCGCUUCAAGCUCUUCAUCUUCGAAGCCAGAAACAUCACCGGCGAUUUCUUCUCAUUCUCCAUCUUCUUCGACUCUAUCUAUCCAGAAGCACAAACCUCCGAGCGGCAGAACUCCCGAUGGAAGAAAUGAAAACCGAUCGCGAGUGGAGAUCAACUUCGGAUCUCAGUACCAGAGGCAACAGGCCAAAGCAAUGGUGGAGACGAAGGAUGCGACGGUUGGUGACCGGAUUGCGGUAGCGGCGGCGCACGAAUCGAAUCUUCGCCGCGAUGGGAAGAACUUGAAGAUUUGGGAUCCGAGUCGAGUGCAGAGAAAGAGAGAAAGCUUCACGAUGGAGGAUCCUCGAUCUAGGGUUUUUUUUUUUUUUUUUGGUGUGGUGACCCCCAAAGAAAAAUCCCCGAUCAAAAGAGAGAAAACCCCCCCUUUUUAGCUCCGUGGGAGAGAGAGAUCCUGAUGAAGAGAGUGCGGGAGCCCCCCCUCCCCCCCGCGAGAGAGAAUUCCCCGUGCGAGCUAAAACCCCCCUUUUUCUUUUUGUUUUCUUCUUUUUUUUCUUUCUUUCUUUUCUCUCCUUUUUCUUUAUUUCUCCCUUUUUUUUCUUUUUCUUUUUGAUUCCUUUACUUCUUUUUUCUUUCUCUCUAUAUUAUUUUUUUUUCUUUUCAUUUUCAUUUUUUUAUUUUUUUUAUUUUUUUAUAUGUUUUCAAAUUGAAUGUUUAAAACGUCAACAAAAAAUUCCGGGUGUCAACAGCUGCCCCUCUUGGGUGGGAGCUCGAAGAGGUUCCACUCAAAGACAAAAUUGAUACCUGAAAUUUUUAGUCGACUCGGCUUUGAAAAAUAGAAAACGACAAAAGCAAUGAUGGUUGGUUAGGACGUACCUGAUACUUACCUUUGCUCAUCAAGGUAUCUGAACUCUUGUUGGGGUUUAUUCACUCUAUCUCUGUUUCUCUUUCUCGUGGAAUGGAAUGAAGACAAUAAAAUCACUAAAUGAAAAAUGAAUGGUUUAAGGACAACCUACGAACCGUAUGGUUUAGACUGGGAGAAAGGUCUCACCGUGUAAAAACGGGUUUUGACUGGAUGAAAUGUCUCACCGUGUAAAAACGGGUUUCGACUGGGAGAAAUGUCUCACCGUGUAAAAAUGGGUUUUGACUGGAUGAAAUGUCUCACCGUAUACGAACGGGUUUCGAUCGGGUGUGAUAGUCUCACCAUAUACAAAUGGGUUUUGACUGAGAGGAAGGUCUCACCAUAUACAAAUGGGUUUCGACCAAGUAUGAUAGUCUCACCAUAUACAAACGGGUUUCGACUGAGAGGAAUGUCUCACUGUAUAUGAACGGGUUUCGACCGGGUAUGAUAGUCUCACCGUAUACAAACGGGUUUCGACUGAGAGGAAGGUCUCACCAUAUACAAAUGGGUUUCGACCAGGUAUGAUAGUCUCACCGUAUACAAACGGGUUUCGACUGAGAGGAAGGUCUCACCAUAUACAAAUGGGUUUCGACCGGGUAUGAUAAUCUCACCGUAUACAAACGGGUUUCGACUGAAAGGAAGGUCUUUUCGACCAGUUAUUAGUUUCAAAAUUUCUAGAGAACCAAUCUUGCAAAAUAACAUUGAUUGUCAAAUCCUUUUAGAGAAGAUUUUAACAAAAUGGGAUCUGAUUAACCAUCUAAGGGUUAAAUCAAAUAUGCCAAGUGGAAACAUCCUAAUCAAAAGAGGUCUUUCACACUAGCUCUCAAAAAUGGCUUUUGUUCCCAACCAUUGAUAUGGGAAAACUGUUUAAAUCUCACUAGAGAAAUCUCACUCAACCUAUGUCUAAGGUUUUCGGAAACGUUCACAGUGAAUACAACCAAUUGAUCAAAAGGUCUUUUAAAGGGACCGUAAUGAUGGCUUGGUCAUGGGCUUACACAAAGGGUAUGCACUUUGAGGCCAAGAAAUGAAUAUUCAAUCAAUAUCUUCAUCAGGUUUACAAGUCAAGAACCUUGAAGAUAAGAUAAGAUAGGAUUGCUUCCACUCCUUCUAGUGGUAGCUCCUAUGUGAUAUUCUCAUUUCAACUCAAACCAUCCUAAUCAGAAGAGACUUCGGAUAAGGGUUGUAAUGUUGGUUUGGGUGAGGCUUAGAAAGGCUUGAAAAACUUUCAGAUAUCAAAGGGUUAAAAAGUGAGUGAUUAUCUUGGCAUCAUUACCAUCACACGACUUCUCAAAAAUUCGACUCUUGAAAUUUAACCUAUCUCGAGAGUCCUUUUGGUAAUUUGUCUUGAGACAUGAGAGCUUCGCUCUUUGUUCUAAUGACAUUGCUUGCAAUAUAGGUUUUCUUUUGUAAUGCAUUUCUUUUGUUUUUCAAUGAAUGAUCUUUUGCAUGAUCAUGGAUUUCGCUCUUUUUUGCAUUCUUGCUUUUCUUUGCAUUUUUUUUCAUGGGCAUCAGCCUUGCUUUUACCAAGCACACUGCUUUUUCAUGCCCCCUAGUUUUCAUCCUCUUUUGGGUAUCUAGGACUCUUGAGUGGCAUUUACAAACAUUACCAAUAUCCUCAAUUUUGUUGGUAAAUCAGGUGCCUUGCCCCAGUGUGGGGAGAUAAUCAUCACCUGGGGUUAUGAAAGAAUUGCAUAAGGCUCAAAUUGGCUAAGCAAUGGAUAAUUGUGUUUGUGGUAGUGAACGGAAUGCUCUUCGUCACUUUGGGAUGCUUCGAGUUUUGAUAAGAAAUCACCUGAAGUUAGCACAAGAAGAUUGAUACAAGUGAAAGCAAUAAAAUCUUUCUUAAUCUUUUGCUCCAUAAUUUUCAACCAAGACCCCCUAUUUUGCUCCAAUGUGGGGUUGUUCUUGACAGGGUUAUUUUGGAAUGCUCCCUAUUUGGCUUAGAGUGGCUUGCAAGGGAUAUCAAUAGUGUUUGGGAUUGAGAAAUGAAAUGCCUUUAUCAUCUUAAAUCAUGUAUUUACUGUGAAUGAAUCCUAUGCCCUAAGACAUGGUUCUUUCCACUCAAUUCUUUCAAAGAGUGUAUGAGGACGUGUUUGGUAAAAGGGUUGCCUCUCAUCAUUUUAGGCACUACCACCUGGCAUAUUUAACAAUCCUUUUCAGGUUUUUCAAAACCCACUUUAGUUAAAUUCAGCUCCGUGGGGAAAUGAAAAUAUAAUGAAAUUUUGUCUGAAAUGACAUGUUUCCUUGACCCUAUUGGGGAGAUUUUUUGGAAGUAAGAUUGGACAAAAUUUGUAAACAGAACAGGCUUUACUUAGCACAUGGGUUCAUUUCUAGAGUUCUAACUGUACUUCUAGAAUUCUAACCGACUCUUUGUAUUUCUAACUCUUUUGGCAUUCUAANNNNNNNNNNNNNNNNNNNNNNNNNNNNNNNNNNNNNNNNNNNNNNNNNNNNNNNNNNNNNNNNNNNNNNNNNNNNNNNNNNNNNNNNNNNNNNNNNNNNNNNNNNNNNNNNNNNNNNNNNNNNNNNNNNNNNNNNNNNNNNNNNNNNNNNNNNNNNNNNNNNNNNNNNNNUGGCUCAGAUUCAAUCCAAAAAUGGCUCAAAGGCCUUUCACUUUAUUCAUGGAUAAUACUUCUUGACAGAAUCAGCAUUUACAGGUCUUGGCAAUUCAUGACCAUCCAUUUCUACAAGGAUUAGUGCCCCACCGGGUAGCACUUUCUUUACAAUAUAUGGACCUUCAUAGUUUGGAGUAAACUUCCCACGAUGAUCUAGAAUGAUAGGUAAAACCUUCCUCAAGACAAGAUCGUUGAUCUCAAAAUGUCUUGGUCUAACUUUGCGAUUAAAUGACCUAGCUACUCUCUUCUGAUAGCUUUGUCCAUGGCAUAAGGCUUUUACCCUCUUUUCAUCAAUCAUAUUAAGUUGUUCAAAUCUUUGUUGAACCCAUUCAGCUUCAGAGAGCUUGAUUUGAGAAAGUACCCUUAGUGAAGGAAUUUCCACUUCCACGGGUAAUACAGCUUCCAUCCCAUAAACCAAUGAGAAUGGUGUUGCCCCAGUUGAAGUACGAAUUGAAGUUCAAUAAGCAAACAAAGCAUAUGGCAACCAAUCAUGCCAAUCACGAUAAUUUUCUGCCGUUUUAGCCAAAAUCUUCUUGAUGUUCUUAUUUGCCGCUUCCACAGCUCCAUUCAUUUGUGGGCAGUAAGGAGAAGAAUUCAAAUGGCGAAUGUGGAAUUCUCCAAGUAAAUCAUCCACCACUUUAUUGUUCAAGUUUGAUCCAUUAUCUGUGAUGAUCGCUUCAGGAACUCCAUAUCGGGCGAUGAUAUCUCGACAGAUGAAUUUUGCCACACUCUUUGUAGUAACAUGGGCAUAAGAAUUGGCUUCAAUCCAUUUGGUGAAGUAAUCAAUUGCUACUAAGAUAAAACGAUGUCCAUUUGAUGCUUUAGGAUUAAUUAGUCCGAUGAUGUCAAUGCCCCACAUUGAAAAAGGCCAGGACUCAGACAUUUGAUGUAACUCAUUAGGAGGAGCAUUGAUUUUGUCUCCAUAGACUUGGCAUUGAUGACAACACAUCACAUGCUGAAUACAAUCGGCUUCCACAGUCAACCAAUAAUAACCGAGCCUCAUAAUUUUUCUAGCCAAGAGAUGGCCAUUCAUAUGUGGACCACACUCUCCUUCAUGUAUUUCUUUCAUUAGGAGUUUAGCUUCUUGUGCGUCCACGCAUUUCAGUAAAACUAAAUCGAAAGACCUUUUAUAGAGAGCUCCUCCACUGAGGAAGAAUUUGGAUGCCAACUUCAUCAAGUAUUUUCGAUCAUUAACUUGACUCCCUUGGGGGAAUUUGCCUUUUCGAAGGUAAUUCAUGAUGUCAUAGUACCAGGGUUGACCAUCAGGUUCUUCUUCUAUCAACAGGCAAUAAGCAGGCUUUUUCAAAACGUUGAUUUGCAAAGGAUCAACGCUCAAACCAUCAGCUACUUGCAACAUCGAAGAUAAAGUUGCCAAGGCAUCGGCAAACUGAUUUUGUGAUCUCGACAGAUAAUCAAAAGAGAUCUCGUCAAAUUCUUUGACUAAGUCUUCGAGAUAUUCGUGGUAAGGGAUUAAUUUUACAUCCCGUGUUUGCCAUUCACCUUCCGUCUGGUGGAUGAUGAGUGCAGAAUCACCAUAAACUUGAAGCUUUCUGAAUUUCAUAUCGAUGGCUAAUUGCAAGCCAAGGAUGCAUGCUUCAUAUUCAGAAAUAUUGUUGGUACAAGGGAAUACCAAUUUGCAGCUACUGGAUAAUGUUGAUCUUCCGAGGAUAUUAAAACUGCCCCAGUGCCAGAACUAGAAAGGUUAACUACACCGUCAAAAUACAUGGUCCACUUGUCAGGCGAAACCAAAUAAAUCCGUUCAUCGAUUUCAUCCCAAUCAUUAGAUUUCUCGGGAUUUUCGGCUAACAUAUCAGCUAUGGCUCGCCCUUUGAUGGACUUUUGUGCCAUGCUUUGAAUAUCAAACUCAGAGAGUAAUAUUUGCCAUUUGGCGAGCCUUCCAACCAAUGCAGGCUUUUCCAAAAGAUAUUUGAUUGGGUCAUUCUCAGUCACCAAAAGGAUGCGGUGAUGCAAAGUAUAUUGUCUCAGUCAGUGUAAAACUCAAAUCAAGGCUACACAGGUCUUUUCCACCUUAAGAUAUCGAAUCUCGGAAGUAGUAAACUUCUUACUGAGGUAAUAUAUGGCACGUUCUAUUCCAUCCCUUGGUCCUUUUUGUGCUAACAUGGCUCCUAAAGACUCCUCAUGAAUGGUGAGAUAUAGGAUCAGAGGCGCGCCUUGGAUAGGUGGUACAAGUACAGGAGAUUGCGAAAGAUAUUGCUUCAGUUCUUCAAAUGAUUUCUGACAUUCUUCAUCCCAGUUGACCUUAGCGUUCUUCUUUAAUAACUUGAAGAAUGGCUUAGCAGCUUCUGACAAUUGAGAGAUAAAUCUUGCAACAUAAUUCAAUCUUCCUAAUAAACUUCGGACUUCUUUAACAGUAGAAGGAGGUUUCAAAUCGCAUAUGGCCUUCACCUUAGAGGGAUCUAUCUUGAUACCCUUGUUACUAACCAUAAAUCCAAGAAGCUUUCCAGACUUUGCCCCAAAUAUGCAUUUUGCGGGGUUAAGCCUCAGCUUAAAUUUCCUCAAACGGUCAAAUAAUCUUCUUAAGAUUUCAACAUGAUCUUCAUCUUCUCUUGACUUUGCAAUCAUGUCAUCAACAUAAACUUCAAUCUCCUUAUGCAUCAUGUCAUGGAAUAGUGUCACCAUGGCUCUUUGAUAUGUUGCCCCUGCAUUCUUUAAGCCAAAGGACAUAACUUUGUAGCAAAAUGUUCCCCAUGGGGUGAUGAAUGAAGUUUUAGUCUUAUCAUCCUCUUUCAUCCGGAUUUGGUUAUAACCAGAAAAUCCAUCCAUGAAGGAGAACAAUUCAAAUCCGGCAAUACUGUCAACUAAAAGAUCAAUGUGCGGCAAAGGAAAAUCGUCCUUAGGGCUUGCCUUAUUCAGAUCACGGUAAUCAACACAUACUCGGACUCGUCUAUCCUUUUUCAUAACCGGGACUAUAUUAGCAAUCCAAUCCGCAUACUGGGUGACUUCAAUGAAACCAACAUUUAAGAGCUUCAUGACUUCCUCUUCAAUCUUUUUCGACAAUUCAGGUUUCGUCCUUCUAAGCUUUUGCUUCUUCGGUAGAAUAUUAGGAUCAAGUGGUAACGCAUGUUCCACAAUCUCAAGAUCUAAACCUGGCAUAUUGACAUACGACCAAGCAAAAAUAUCUCGAUAUUCUUUCAAAAGCCCAAUUAGUCUAUUGGCAUCUGCUUGAGAGAGACCCGCCCCAAUCUUGGUUUCUUUAGGGUUGUCUGAAUCUCCCAAAUUUACAGUGACUGGUUGUUCGGUGGUAGGAGGUUUGGACUCUUCAUGUAUGAGCCACUCUUUUUCAAUACCUCGAUGAUCAUCCUCAUUCUCUGAAUCGGAAUAAUGGGGUUCGUCAAAAUCUUUUGAAUGCGAAUCCGAGCCAUGUGAAUGACUAUCGUGAUGUGAAAUGUCAUGCCUGAGAUGUAAUUGAAAAAAAAUGGUUAGUAUAUGUACACCUAAAUGAAUAUAAUGUAUGUAAAUGUCAUGAAAAAUUUGUUUUCAAGUUCAAGUUUUAUUGGGAACUAGCCCUCAUGUCAUUGGACGUCUUCGUUCCACCAAAACAUUUUGAAACUAUAGAUCGUGUGGAGGCUCAGGCCUCAAAGCAUCAUCAUAGGACUAAUUUGGGCCUCACACGUCUAUUAACAAAACAUGAAUUUUAUUGAUAUGCAAAAAUUGCAUUACAACGUAUAUCAUCUUGGAUCUAGAAAGUUUAUGAUCUAGAUUAUUACAAACACAAACGAAUAAAAUGAAUAGAAUUUCCUCGCAGGGGAGAAAUGAAUGAAAUUCCCUCAUAGGGGAGAAAUGAAUGGAAUACAACUAAAAAUUAAGUACAAGAACUAGAAACAUCCCUUACACAGUGGGAAUUGUAUGCUCUUCAUCUUCACUAAUAGUGCCAACUAGACCAUCUUCAAACAAAUCAGCAAAGUGAUAGACAUUGGCCUCUUCUUCUUGCAAGAGCUUAGGCGGACCAGGAAAGAAAUCUUUCAAAGGUAGAGGCAAGAGACGUUGGUAGCUUUUACCCUUGAUGUUUGGGCCUUUGCGAUUACCUUGACCCUUACGAUCGCCUUGAUAACCCAGGCCUUCACGCUUGUUGAUUUUGACCACUUUAAUAGGAUCUGGCAUGCCUUGGGCUGACUUACCCAAACCUUUCCCCAUAGCAAAACCAUUUUUGAGCAAUUCUCUACUUGCCAUCAGGGAGGCCUCUGAGAACCGAGGCUUUCUAAUAAUCGACCCAACAGGCACAUGAGUGACAGACACCAUCUCAAACAAGUGAUAGCUCGACUCUCCCUUGACCUCAGGCUCAAUGAAAGGUAUGGCCGUGUUAUGGAAAGUCUCCACAUCUCUUUCACGUCGAAUAGUCACAAUCUUUCCAUCGAUAGGAAGUUUCAUCAUCUGAUGAAGACUGGAAGGAAUAAUUCCUGCAGCAUGGAUCCAAGGCCGUCCCAGUAGCAGGCUAAAGUUGCUUGGGAUAUCCAGUACUUGAAACUUUUGAGUCAUGGUAAUAGGGCCAAUUGUCAGUGGUAAAUCGAUUUCCCUUAUUGUUUCUCUCUUCAUCCCAUCAAAGGCUCGAACAGGAAUUGUUGGAGAAGAGACAUUUUCCAUUCCUAUCCCCAAUUUAUGAAGGGUGGAUAAAGGGAAAAUGUUCAAGGAAGAGCCAUUAUCGAUCAGGACCUUCGAAAUCUUUGUCUCAAAAUGUUGAGCAGACACAUAUAACGCCUUAGUGUGUGCUUGGCCCUCAGGAGGGAGGUCUCUCUCAGAGAAAGUAAUUUGAUCUCUUAGAAGUAUUGCACCCACAAACUCCUCCAAUUGUACUUCUCCAAUAGCCUCGGGUACAUGAACUUCAUUUAAAAUUUUGAGGAGAGCAUUUCUAUGCUUUUCAGAGGUCUUGAAGAGCUCCAAUAGAGAAUCUGCGCAGGCAUCUUGCGCAAUUGAUCAAUCACUUCAGCCUCACUUGUCUUGAGUGUUUUGAGGAGUUGUUUAGCUUCCUCAUCAGUUACGGCCUUCUUUUCCUCACCUUCACGUGGUGGGUAGAUUCGACCCGAUCGGGUGACGGCGUCGAUUUCAUUUGUAUUAUAAUUCCAAGGGACCGCCCUAGUGUCAAAAGUAGGAAUCACUUUAGUGUUGGAACAUUCACCUAAUUCUGGUGGUAACUCGAUCACAACAGGACCAAAACCCGUGUUAGAGAUCUUCAUGGCUCCAAAAUUAUCAACCAAUGAGCCGACUUCGAUGACACUCUUAGCAGUUGUAUCACUCCCACAUGGGAUUUUUCCUUUAGUCAAAUCAAUUACAACAGGUUCAAUCAUAGCCAUGAAUUCAUCCUUGAAUUCCUCUCCCCAUCCACUAGGGACAAUGUCUUUAGAGUUUUGGAAAUAACUUGGAGGAGUAUACUUGACUAUAAAGUCGUAUUUCCCACUUGGUUGUCCCAAGGUGUCUACCACUUCACCCUUCUCAUGGGCUUUCCUCACAAAUUCACGGUCUGAAUGGGAAGUUUUGUAUUCAUCCUCUUCUUCGCUAUAGGAGUAGACCUCUUUAUCCUUUGGCAAAAUUGAAAUAAGGUCUUCUUCAUCAUGAAUGACGUGACCUUUCAACUGGUGAUCAUCGAAUGGCAUGCUCUGUUUCAUCUCCUGGGUAUCCAUCAAGGGUAUAUCUUCGUCAACAUCCCCAUAAAUCAUGUUGACAUUUUCAGAAUGCUUUGGAAGAUGAUUUUGUUGGACAUUCGAUGCUGAAUCCUUGAAGGUGAGCAGCUUUUUAUCCAGCAAAUUAUGGAUCUUAUAACGGAGCACAAAACAAUUAUCUACAUUAUGACCUUUUUCACCCAUAUGAUAUUCACAUAUCUUAUUAAGGUCGAAUCCGGCAAACUUUGGCGGAUUAUUCCUUGGGAUCUCUUUUGCAACAAGAUGAUUUUCGAUUAGCAUUGGAAGUAGUUGAGACAUGGGCCUAGGUAGUGGGGUAAAUUGCCUUUGAAGGGUUUUUCCUUUGUACUCAAAAUUUCUGGAAGAACCCCCUACUUCCAUGGCAGGUUUAUGAAUUUGAGGAUUAUAUGGCUUCUGAGAAGAGAAAUUUUGUACAUAGGCGAUCUCCACAGUCGAUUCUUUAUCCCUCUUCGGGGUAUAUCGACGAUUUGUGUUCUCAGACAACCUUCCUUCUCGCAUAAUCUCCUCGAUGCGUUCUCCCAACUCUACAAAUGUAGCAAAGUUCAUACAAGUAUGGUUGUACAUCUUCUCAAAAAGAUCAUGGGGCAUAGCCUGAAGCAGCAAUUUCAUCGUCUCUUUCUCAGACAAUGGCGGUUUCACUUGAGACGCAGUGACCCUCCACCUUUGAGCGUAGGCCCUAAAUGAUUCAGUUCUUCUUUUCUCAACCCAAACCAAUUCCUCUUGAGUCGGAGCAAUUUCAGUAUUGAAUUUGUAUUGCUGAAGGAAUUCAUCAACGAGAUCCUCCCAAGUACGGAUUUUCUCCAUGUCCAACUCUAUAAACCAAGUUAAAUGAAUUGAUCAGAAGUGGGGGAUUAUCUUAAUAACGAGCCAUCUUGCCUAGAUAGUACUUCAAAUGAGUCUUCGGACAUCCGAUGCCGUCGUAUUUCCUUGUGAACUCCGGCUCCUUAUAAAAUUCAGGGACCGUAAUUUUGGCAAAGGGCGAUAGUUUAUCAAACCCCUACAACUGAUAGCCUUGCAGCAUGCAAAGGCGUUCUUCGAUCUUGGCGAGGUGCCUUGCAUUUUCUUCAUCAAAGUGCGAAGUUGGUAUCUCUUUAGAUUGAGGCUCUGGACCGAUAACUAUCGGGAUUGCAGUGGGGAUCUCUUCUACAGGCCCUUUUGCCACAGGCUCUACUACAGGCACUUCAGGGGGCGCGGUAGGAAUAUUCAUGGUAGAAGAAGUAGAUGUCAAGUUUUUGAUUUGGCUAGAGAGAUCGGCCAAUAACGUCAUCAUUUGUGCCAUUUGAUUCUCCAUAUUAAUGACACGGGCUCGGGUAUCUUCAUUUUCCAUCUUUGUUUGGCGGCGAGUUCGUAUAACAAAUCUUUCUUCAGCCGUUUUUUCAAAACCUCCUGUAAAAUAAAAUGACUCGAAUUAGUACCGAUCAAAAGAAACCAUUAAAGUACAAAUCCUAGUCAAUUUUAUAUUUUCUUGAGAUGAAAUAAUGAUAAGAAGUGUAUAUGAUCCCAGUAUCAUAUAACCUCCUCUUAUCAAAAUUUCUUCAAAAGAAAUUAUACAAUUGAAAAGGAACGACGACAAAUAUUUAAUCAGAAUGCCCCUUUUCUAGAAGUUACAUGAAAAAUGUUCAUGAAUUUCAUUCAUUUCAAUCGAACAAUUACAAGGGAAAACAAAACCUUGCUUUCUUGAAGCUUACAAAGUAGUUCGACUUUACAUGCGAUGUUUACAUGGGAUAUGAAAAUGAAUACAAGUAAACCUCAAUAGAAAGGAGGGAAACACAAAUGAAAUCCCUUUACAAGAAAAGCAUAUGAAAUGAAAACCUAAGUACUAGGCGAGAUCGUGCGGAGACGCUUGUUUUCAUGGGCUAAGCAUUCCUCAUCGAUCAAGACACUGUUUUCUUGCUCCUGAAUAUGAGCUUGUUGAAGUCUUUGAGGCUCGGGAACAUCCGGCAACUGAACCUUGAGCUCGGGUUCUACUUGACAGUAUAUGUAAUCGAUGGUAGCUUGAUGGGUCUUCAUCUCUCCUUCCAAAUCAGCUUCAUCGAUGGCAACCACGUGAUGCGAGGAAUGGGAGUACCAAAUCCCAAUAGCAGCUUGAAUUGCGGCCUUGAUAUGGUCAAUUUGGUUUUCCUUGAUGACUUCAUUGUGAUAAUCAAUACGAUAUAACCCCAGCUUGAGGAUUGGCGGGAUCGUUUGAAGCGCGCGAUAUUGGCGGAGUACCCUUAAAGGGUAAUAUGACGUUAAACCGUCAGUCCCACGAGGGGAAGUGGAUUGUCAACUCCACUAAAAAGGCGCACCUCGGGAUUCCCAAGCCAUCGAGCAUGCCAUUGAAUUAAGCUAUGGUUGAGAUUUUUAAGGAAAUGGAACCACAUAGAGAAAGACCAUGAUGGAAAGGAUUCGUUUCGUUGGGAAAAUCUAAGAAUUGGAUGAUGAUGUUUUGUGACAUCAAUAAUCUUCAUGUGAGGGCAAACUCUUUGAUAUGUGAAAAGAGCCAAAUUUGGAGAAGUCCUAAUGGGGCUCUAAGAGUUCCUCAACCAUUUGCUUUAAAUCGAUUAAAAGACACAAAAGUUUCGGCAAUGAUCAUAUGUGUGAAACAAUUAAAUGCGCACACUUGGUUGACAAUGUGUGUGACUAAAGGAUCCAUUGUUUUUCGGGUAUAUGGGAAAAUCACAAAACCAAAGAAUAUGAGUAGGAAGACACGAGGAAUUUGGUUCCCAGAUUUUGGCUCAAGGCUACGGAAAUGUUUUUCGAGGAAAUUAUAAGGCAUGGCAUGAGAGUUUCCAUUAAGAAUAGCUUCAAUUUUAUCAUAAGGGAUAUUGAGGAAUUGACUUAGAAGAGAUAUUGGAUUUUGGCCAAUAGGAGGAGUAACAAAACCUAAAGAAGCUUUACCUAAUCCAAUGGCUUUUUGGAACUCCUCAAUUGUAGGGGUCAAUUCACAUUGAUUAAACACGAAAGUAGAAGUCACAGGAUUCCAAAAAUGAGCCAAUAUUGCAAUACGUGGUUCGACUUUUAAUAAAGUCGGGAGGAAGCCUAUGCGCUUUUCCUCGUAGUCUUGAUGUCUUGGGUCGAGAUUCUCCCAUAAAGUCUUGAGAUUCCAGGCACAGGGAUCACGUCUACUUCAGGUCUACCCAUCUAAUCUAAACCUAAAGGGGCAUACAUGAUUAAACAUAUCGUCGCUGAAAUAUAGAAUUGCAUAAUUGAAAUAUGGAAAGUAAAAAAAUAAGCACGAUGAAAAAGGAAAAUAUCUUACCCACCAGACACAUGACAAGCACAAAUCACAUGUCGUAUGAAACUGUGAGGUUUUAACGCCUAAGGUGAGGGUACUAAAAGCUCAAGGUCUUCAUCCCAAAGGAUAAAAAUAGUUUACCCACCGCUACUAUCGUCGGUCAGUGCUAUUUUUAUCGGUUGGGAUGAGCGGGUUUAUGUAAGUAAUGGAUUACCACGAGCAUCCACUCGCAUAUUCCACCCAUAAACCCUCCUAAGGUCCUAGAUUGGGUGAUCGGGGUUUUAGACCGCGGUUGUGUGUGCGGUGUCAUGCUAAAGUUGGUAAACAUGCAUUUAAAUUUAAACAUCCAGCACUUCAAUAUAAACCCACAUACAUUUAUUCAUCCUUACACCACCUGCAAAACAAAGGGUUUACAAGCACACCUCCCCUUAUAACUCCCACCUACAAUACCAUUUAACAUAAGGUUAGUGACUAACCUGAUUUUCCACGCGACUUUGACAUGCAGGCGAUCCUACAUAAGACAUGUUAGUUAAAACACAACAACCAUUUUUAAAUGGCUUCAAGUCCUUUAACCUAGUAACCAGUCCCCAGCGGAGCCGCCAAGCCUGUCGCGACCCGGAUCUCGCCGCCCCUCGAAAUGGUAUCCAAGGAGGGGAAAGGUCGGGUUUAGGGAUACUUAAUCUCGAGAUCACGAGCUCUCCCAAGCUCGUACCCCGCGUGACAGCGAAUUUAUUUAUAUGAUCUAGGUAUUUAACAACCUAAAAAUAUAUAGGAGUCGCCACUAGCCUCAUUUUUUGGGGGUCGGCUAGAAACCCAAUCGAGGGUCGGGAGUAUUCCCUCGAUUCCUACGCAACCAGAUAUCUAGAUUCGGAGACUUGGGUUACGCUAAUAUUGCUAUUAGCGCCCUUUCGGUACCUAAACAGUAUGUUGUGUUUUUCCUAACAUGUCCAUGCAUUUUUUUAUAUUUUCAGGAUCGUCGAUUCUAUACUAAAUGAUCAUGUGUGUUGGAUUACUUUCAUUCUAUUCUAUUUCUAAAAAAAAAAUGAAAAGAAACCAAUCAAUGAAAUUGAAAUUGCAAGACAUGAAGUAAACAAUCAAGAGAAAGCGGUAAACCUAAUCAUGCAAUUCUAAAAGAAAGUAUAAAAGAGAAAUAUAUGGGAAAAAGAGAGAAAAACCCGCAACUCGUCGGGUUUUAUACAACAAAUGGAGCCCGAGACAUAUGUCGGGAAAAUGGGUAUUACAUGAAAAUGGUCGGAAUGGACAUCGACCUCCACCAUCUUCACGCCUCUCCAUCUUCAAGGUCCUAAUCUAAACCUAAUCUAAAACACUAAUAACUAGGUGCGUACAAAUAAAAGAAACAAUCAAACACAUCAAGCAACCAUUUUCAUUUCUAAAGAAGUACAAUGUGAAAAUCAAGUUUCGAGUGAUAUCCUAAAGUUCAACAUUGAUAUGUGUCGCACCAAAAUCGUUCGUCAAAUGAUCACAUGCAAAGCAUAUAAUAUGACAGGCAUCCAAGCCAUAUAACAUUGGUCCUCAGUUAAUCAAACAAAUGAAUUAGCUGACAAAAGAUCAUUCACCAAACAAUAUGCAUCAUUGAACAUGUUCAUGCUACAUGUAUAUCCAUCUAAUAAAUGCUUAAUCCAUAACUUCCAGCAUGCAAUCAGAAUUGUAACAGAGCACAUGAGACUAUAAAUUGUGAUUGUUUGAUGACAAAUCACCAUGAAAUUGAAGCCAUAUCUUAUCACAAGCACGUAUGAGUCUUUUUGAUCAAAAUGGCAUCAAUUCAUAACCAAACUAACCGCAAGUUAAAAUCAAAUGCACACCCAAUCAUGGUAGCAACUUUCAUGGAAAAAGUUUUUUAACGUGAGCUACAUAGAAGUUAAAGAAAAUUCAAGAAUGCACAAUAUUAUGUCGAAAUUGCAGCAAAAUAUCGGGAUGUCGUGACACAUUAAUGGUGAUUUGACCUAAAAAGAAAAUCUGAAGAAUAUGAAAUUUUACCACAGCGCGAACAAAAGAGAGGCAAACAACUUUUGUUAAGGAUCCAAUCUUAGAAUUCCUUAACAAGAAAAUCACAGAAAAAAUGAUGAGGUCAGCUUUGACAAGGAAAAACGGGGGUUAUGAAUUUCAUUUUUAUGACAGAUUUCUAUCAUGCGAAUCACAAGAAAAGUUGAGUUCAAUUGAUAUGCAAAUCAUGUGAAAUCAGCAUCAUAAGAACAAAUUUCACGAGGAAGCCUCUCAAAAUUUUUAACACGUGAGUUUCUAAAAGUUCAAGAACAUGAACAAGUCAAUCAAGAAUAGAACAUAGUAGCAUGUCACACCAUCAUUCUACAACAUAUUGACAGCAAUUGGACAAAUCUAUUAUCUCAUCUUAAGACUAACAGCAACUAGCCACAGAAAAGACAGCAUUUCUAUAAUCGAAUCAACUUCAAAAAUCAAAGACAACAUUUCAUUAUAUAUUGUAACUAAAAGCACGUGAAUUUACAAAAUCCUAGAAGAGAUCAUUUUUUAUGUAGAUGAUGGAAGUGUGGAUCGUUAGGUAAAUCAUUUUUAUCAAUGGUUGCCAUCUAAGGGAACAUCUGCAAAAGUGUCUUCAUCUUAUAGAUAUUCCUGUAUAACUGUGGCAGUUUUUUUUUAACCAUCUGGAGCGUAUAUUCCUGUAUAACUGUGGCAGUUUUUUUUUAACCAUCUGGAGCGUAUAUCUUUUGGCCGAAUGGUACAUACCCUAUUGAGUAUGACAGGAAUGCACAUUUUCUUCCAGAAUAUUUCACUCAGGACAGCUCAUGACUGAUGACAGUUUAUAAUUGUAAGUCCUUACAAUAUCUAGGUUCCUUUGACUAUUUUGAGGGGGACCACUGCUGGAUGAAGUACAUCAAAGGAUCAAUUCAUGGACAUAGCAGGCGGUUUGUCAUGCACUCAGUUUUCUCGCCAGAUUGCUAAAAUGCAUUCAUGACACUGCAUCACUAUUAGAUUGUUUCAUCAUGUUCCUAAUGUUAACUAAGCUUUUAGAGGUUUGAGGCCAUUAAUGGCGACCAUAAUGAAGUAUUUGUAUUGACAACUGCAAUUGUGGAAACUCACACAUGAAUCAACAGAGUAGUAUCUAACAUUAUCUCAUAUCGAACCACAAUGAUGUCCAACUGAUGAUGGGAUUGAGGAAACAAGCAGCACAUAGGAUUAUUGUGUAUUUACCUAGCUCGUGACACUAGACAGGAGAUAAGACCCGAGAAAUCGUCCAGAGAGCGAGCCUCCGAUCGAGAGAGUUACUAAUCUCCGGGAGCGAUCCUCAACCAGUCGGAACAAAGAGAAUCUCCGAUCCUGAUGAAGCUAGAUCCGGGCGAGAGCGAUCGAGUGUCUGUAAGAAAAAGAGAAUUAGAGCAGGAAAGAGAAUUCCCGAGCGAAAGAGUCAGCUUGAGUCCCAGAGAGCGUGUGAGAUCUGGAGAACGUCCUUGAGAGAGAGAAACCGUUCGGCCGUUUUUCCUCCGAGAGAGAAUCUGAGCCGAGAGCAUUCGUCCGUUCCGUCACAGUCGCGGCUGCACUGACCGAUAUAGGAAAUUUAGCUGCGGCCAAUGACGGCUUCAAGCUCUUCAUCUUCGAAGCCAUAAACAUCACCGGCGAUUUCUUCUCAUUCUCCAUCUUCUUCGACUCUAUCUAUCCAGAAGCACAAACCUCCGAGCGGCAGAACUCCCGACGGAAGAAACAAAAACCGAUCGCGAGUGGAGAUCAACUUCGGAUCUCAGUACCGGAGGCAACAGGCCAAAGCCGAUCGCGAGUGGAGAUCAACUUCGGAUCUCAGUACCGGAGGCAACAGGCCAAAGCAAUGGUGGAGACGAAGGAUGCGACGGUUGGUGACCGGAUUGCGGUACCGGCGGUGCACGAAUCGAAUCUCCGCUGCAAUGGGAAGAACUUGAAGAUUUGGGAUCCGAGUCGAGUGCAGAGAAAGAGAGAAAGC
Molecule: long non-coding RNA, 16371 nt
Filed under: Eucalyptus grandis
Lineage: Eukaryota; Viridiplantae; Streptophyta; Magnoliopsida; Myrtales; Myrtaceae
Description: long non-coding RNA (EGRA_LNC001598)
Source: RNAcentral